Long non-coding RNA from Zerene cesonia (dogface butterfly), 390 nucleotides. RefSeq lists it as uncharacterized. The record is from RefSeq and is a predicted model, not a curated record. NCBI's taxonomy places the organism in Eukaryota, Metazoa, Arthropoda, Insecta, Lepidoptera, Pieridae. The transcript is spliced from 3 exons.
GCGCGCCCGGUUGAACGUCAUGUUUUCGCGCGAAAAUUUUUGACAGAUGUCAUUUUCGUUCGGUAAAAUAAAUAUAAUAAAGUUGGUGCAUUAAAAAAAGAUAUCUACUGCAGAUAUUCAAAAUCCAUAUUGAAGGGGCUCUGCAGAUUGCCCAAGUACUCGCCGAUCAUCUGCUUGCUCAGCCCCUUCCUGGUGAUGAGGAACCGGGCGACACCUCGCGGCGAAUUCUCUAGAAAGCCUCGCGAGAUCAGUGUGACCUUGAGGGGCUGCGGCGCGUGGUCGUGCGCGGGGCGGCAGCAGGCGGCGGGCGGCGCGUCAUAGUAGGGCGGCGCGUCCUGCCGCUUCCACACCGCGUAGCGCUCGCCCUCGUACAGCGAGCCCGACGCGGCG